GUGGGGAAUUUUGGACAAUGGGGGCAACCCUGAUCCAGCCAUCCCGCGUGUGCGAUGAAGGCCUUCGGGUUGUAAAGCACUUUUGGCAGGGAAGAAAAGGCGCCGGCUAACACCUGGCGCUGCUGACGGUACCUGCAGAAUAAGCACCGGCUAACUACGUGCCAGCAGCCGCGGUAAUACGUAGGGUGCAAGCGUUAAUCGGAAUUACUGGGCGUAAAGCGUGCGCAGGCGGUUCGGAAAGAAAGAUGUGAAAUCCCAGGGCUUAACCUAGGAACUGCAUUUUUAACUGCCGGGCUAGAGUAUGUCAGAGGGGGGUAGAAUUCCACGUGUAGCAGUGAAAUGCGUAGAGAUGUGGAGGAAUACCGAUGGCGAAGGCAGCCCCCUGGGAUGAUACUGACGCUCAUGCACGAAAGCGUGGGGAGCAAACAGGAUUAGAUACCCUUGUAGUCC
Molecule: ribosomal RNA, 450 nt
Filed under: uncultured bacterium
Lineage: Bacteria
Description: partial 16S ribosomal RNA
Rfam family: Bacterial small subunit ribosomal RNA
Source: RNAcentral